AGCUCCAAUAGCGUAUAUUCAAGUUGCUGCAGUUAAAAAGCUCGUAGUUGGAUUUCUGGUUAUUAACAUAUCUGGCCCGCCGGAUAUGUCCGUGCGUGUGCUGAUAUGUUUUGACCAUCCUUCUAAUUUAUAUAUCUGCGAUGGCAACAUCAAUGAUAUAUGGGUUAGAUCUUUGACUUUGAACAAAUUAGAGUGUUUCAGGCAGGCAAUAUUGCUAUGAAUACAUGAGCAUGGAAUCAUCAGUUUCUCGCGCUUCGGCUUGAUUCUGGUUGGUUUUCAGCUGAAGUCAUAUGAUGGAUAGGGACAGUUGGGGGUGCUAGUAUUCAUUGGCCAGAGGUGAAAUUCUUGGAUUCAAUGAAGACUAACUACAGCGAAAGCAUUCACCAAGGAUGUGCUCU
This 398-nucleotide ribosomal RNA is filed under the name uncultured eukaryote. RNAcentral describes it as "SSU rRNA". It matches the Rfam family "Eukaryotic small subunit ribosomal RNA", at positions 587 to 972 of the family's 1831-position model. The record is from RNAcentral.